GAGGGAGAGAGAGCGAGCUAUCUUCCAUCUGCUGGUUUACUCCCCAAAUGGCCACAACAGCCAGACCAAAUCCAGGAGCCAGGAGAUUCCUCUGGGUCUCUCACGUGGGUGCAGGUGCCCAAGAACUCGGACCAUCUGCUGCUGUUUUCCCAGGCGCAUCAGCAGGAAGCUGGCUCAGAAGUGGAAUAGCUGGAAUUCGAACCGGCACCCAUGUGGGAUGCGGGUGUUGCAGGUGGCGGUGGAACCUGUUACGCCACAACACUGGCCCUGAUUUAUUUUCUUUAUAAAUUAGUCUGUGGUGUUCUGGACUAGCACACAAGGUAACACCUCACAGCAGGCUGACAUGGCAAUAUAAGCAGUAAUCUGUAUGCUCAACCUUUUCCUCAAGAUAGUGCUUUCUAUAUUUUUUAACAGUUCUUUCAUCAGCACCAUAACAAUUCUGAUUGCUUGAUAUGUGACAGGGACAAUGAUCAGGAGAAGCAAAAGGUCAGAACAUACCAAGACGCGGUUCUCCCGUGUUAACUGCAGAUGGACGUUCUACUGAGUGCUGCAGAGGAGGGAGCUGAUCAUACAGACCUGACGCCACCUUCAAGAGU
Oryctolagus cuniculus (rabbit) is the source of this 596-nucleotide non-coding RNA. The record is from RefSeq and is a predicted model, not a curated record. Lineage: Eukaryota; Metazoa; Chordata; Mammalia; Lagomorpha; Leporidae.